Molecule: ribosomal RNA, 498 nt
Filed under: uncultured bacterium
Lineage: Bacteria
Description: bacterial SSU rRNA
Rfam family: Bacterial small subunit ribosomal RNA
Source: RNAcentral
UAGUCCAUGCCGUAAACGAUGGAUACUAGCUGUUCGGAUUUAUCUGAGUGGCUAAGCGAAAGUGAUAAGUAUCCCACCUGGGGAGUACGUUCGCAAGAAUGAAACUCAAAGGAAUUGACGGGGGCCCGCACAAGCGGUGGAGCAUGUGGUUUAAUUCGAUGAUACGCGAGGAACCUUACCAGGGCUUAAAUGUAGGAUGCAUUAGGUAGAGAUACUUAUUUCUUCGGACUUCUUACAAGGUGCUGCAUGGUUGUCGUCAGCUCGUGCCGUGAGGUGUCAGGUUAAGUCCUAUAACGAGCGCAACCCCUGUUGUUAGUUACCAGCGAGUAAUGUCGGGAACUCUAACAAGACUGCCGGCGCAAACCGUGAGGAAGGUGGGGAUGACGUCAAAUCAUCACGGCCCUUACGUCCUGGGCUACACACGUGCUACAAUGGUAGGGACAGAGAGCAGCCACUUCGCGAGAAGGAGCGAAUCUAUAAACCCUAUCACAGUUCGGA